RNAcentral lists this ribosomal RNA (393 nucleotides) under uncultured bacterium. Its description in RNAcentral is "bacterial SSU rRNA". It matches the Rfam family "Bacterial small subunit ribosomal RNA", at positions 107 to 499 of the family's 1533-position model. The record is from RNAcentral.
UGAGUAACACGUAUCCAACCUGCCUCAUACUCGGGGAUAGCCUUUCGAAAGAAAGAUUAAUAUCCGAUAGCAUAUAUUUCCCGCAUGGGUUUUAUAUUAAAGAAAUUCGGUAUGAGAUGGGGAUGCGUUCCAUUAGUUUGUUGGGGGGGUAACGGCCCACCAAGACUACGAUGGAUAGGGGUUCUGAGAGGAAGGUCCCCCACAUUGGAACGGAGACACGGUCCAAACUCCUACGGGAGGCAGCAGUGAGGAAUAUUGGUCAAUGGACGCGAGUCUGAGCCAGCCAAGUAGCGUGAAGGAUGACUGCCCUAUGGGUUGUAAACUUCUUUUAUAUGGGAAUAAAGUUGUCCACGUGUGGAUUUUUGUAUGUACCAUAUGAAUAAGGAUCGGCUA